Molecule: non-coding RNA, 184 nt
Filed under: bovine gut metagenome
Description: Lysine riboswitch
Rfam family: Lysine riboswitch aptamer
About the family: Riboswitches are metabolite binding domains within certain messenger RNAs that serve as precision sensors for their corresponding targets. Allosteric rearrangement of mRNA structure is mediated by ligand binding, and this results in modulation of gene expression. This family includes riboswitches that sense lysine in a number of genes involved in lysine metabolism, including lysC.
Source: RNAcentral
CGCGUAGAGGCGCGUCGAAUCAUCAGUAGACGGCACAGGGCCUGCGGACAGCGUUGACAGGGCCGGUCGAAAGGGAUCGACGCCGAAGGCCCGGCGAAGCCGCACGUCAGGCCUGGUCCUUCCGGGAAUACCGGCCGGACUGUCAGCGCGCAGGCAGAGCAGGCGCGGUGGAGAGCUAUGCGUU